This is a long non-coding RNA of Mirounga angustirostris (Northern elephant seal), 3976 nucleotides long. RefSeq lists it as uncharacterized. NCBI's taxonomy places the organism in Eukaryota, Metazoa, Chordata, Mammalia, Carnivora, Phocidae. The record is from RefSeq and is a predicted model, not a curated record. The transcript has 2 exons.
GCAGCUCCCGGCCCAGCCCAGGGCCCCCACAGCAGAGGGGGAGCAGGAGCUCUCCCGGGCCUGACAGCCCCAGCCGUGCAGAAAGCCGGCCUAGGGAGGGUGUGCAAAGAAGGGCGCGAGAGGAAAAGGUCGACACAAACCCCAGACCCCAGGAAGUGACUGUGUUUGGGGGAAGGGAGGGCUUCCUUCCCAAGGAAAAGGGGACAGAAGAGAAAUGCACUCCGCGUCCGCCACCCCGGCCAGGGAGCCGCCGUAAGUCCCAGCUUCGGCCCCGCUCUCCUGCUCCCUCCCUCAGCGUCCCGCCGUGCCCGGGCCUCUCGGCGCCUGGCAACCCCCGUCUCGGGUACUCACAGAGUCCGGGGCUGCCCGUCGUCUUCCAUCAUGCCCGCUCCGGACACUGCGCUCCAACCAGGAGGAGCAGGAGGAGGAGGAGGAUGAACAAAAUGGCCACCGCCACCAGCCAGGCAGGAAACGGGGCAGAGCGCAGGCGCGGCCCGCCAGGUCACCGCUCAGGCCAGCCGCGACGGCCUGUAAAGGGAAUAACUGAGUGGGGAGAAAAACAGGCCGCUAAGGAAACCCUGUGCCCAGUCCCGACGAAUCACGUCGUCGCUGAGUGCCUGCUGGUCGGCUGAAGCCCAGCCAGUUCAAGAAGAGAUCGAGUGAAAAGGGAACCGCCGUGAAGCUGAAGGUUCUGGGAAUUGUGGUCCUGGAAAUGAGAGAGGGAAGCACUUCUCCAGAGGACUUCUGGGAACUGUAGUCCACAGGAGACGGCCGGCGCCCGCGACGCGCCGGGUCGCGAAGAAGAGACUUCUGGGUAGUGUAGUCAUACGUGAGGACGUGCGGCCACCAGGAAGUCGGCGUGCUGGAAGGAGAAGCAGAGAAUAAAAGCGACGUUGAAAGGCGGGGAGACCGGACGGAAAAAACGCUGACCGGGAAAUAAACUACAAGUCCCAGAGUGCCUCGCGCUGGGGGCUGUCCUAGGACUGCUCGGAGCAUGUUAAGGCUCUUCAGUUGGCUCAGCUUGUGCUACCGCUCCGCCUCCGUCCAGCCUGAGAGCGGUUUCUUUAAUUGCGUCUGAAUCCCUGCUUUGGCUCCGCGUGGUGUCGGAGUCAGCGGGCGUUUCGAGCCGUCCCCUAUUCAUCCAAACAGCCGACCCGUGGUCAUCAACCGCCGACCCGCGCGACGGGCUGGAGGGGCUGUGGUGGACGUCGGGUCCGGGCUGAGCUGGGAGCUGCGCUCGCUGGGUCCCGGCGGGCUUCCUAAGGUCCGGCCUUGUCUCUUGGGCGUGUUUUCCCGCAAAUAGGUGUUGCUGGCCUAGGUUGGCCGUUUGUAGAUUGCUUUGUAAGUUUCAAAGGUUCCCCCGUCCGUUAUCUCGUCGGAUAAGAUGGUAAGUAGAGCAGUCCUCCAUUAAAAUGACUCAUCGAGUCAGUGUAAGGUGCAGUGAUAAUGCCCUCCAACCCCUUAUUUAAUUCUUGGAGUGGAAAAAAUCUUUGGGCCGAGACGUGCAGACUUAAGCUUGUGUUUGCAGAUAUCCAUCCUGUAGACGGGAAAUGAAGUCUUGCUUGAGAAUGGAGGGAGCCGUUUUCAAACUGCUUCUGUAACCCUGUAGAAUUCCCCCCCCCCCCCCCACACACACGACAGUUCAUGGUGCGCUUACGUCCCCUCCCCCCAGCAUCUUGAGUUUGUACCCCCUCCUGGUGAAGGGUGGUGAUAAAGAUCUUUCAGCCUGUUGCCCGACCUUAAAGGUCCCAGUUAAACAGUGCCUUAAGAGUUGGCUCUGCCAACAUGUCCUGAGGGGGAGGGGGAUUUGAACCUGGAAAGCUUCAUAGACUCCAUGGCAAGGAAGUUGAACCCCGUAAGAGUCCGUGGGAGUAGCAAAAGGGCGCAGAGACCAGGAUCCAGGGUUAAAGUAUAUAGUUAUUUGGGGAGGGAGGAGAGGGGAAGGCAUGGCGAAGGGGUCUUGAGAGUUGAGAGAGGUGGGCUUAAAGAAUUGUAUUGUGAAGGACUUGAGGAGUUGAGCUUUGUCUUUGAAGCAGUGAGGAGUUUCUCAAGGGUGUUUGCUUUUAUUGGACUUAGGUAUAGAACUGGGUUUGUCAUAAUCCAAUCAGUCAUUGAUCCAUGCCUAGCCCACUGUAUUAGUUUCCUAUUACUGCUGUAACAAGCUUAGUGCCUUAAAAUAGUAGGAAUUUAUUAUCUUACAAUUCUGGAGGUCAGAAGUCAAAAAUCAGUUUCACUAGGCCAACAUCAAGGUAUUGGCAGGCUGGUUCUUGCUGAAGUCCAGGGGAGGAAUGGGUUCCUUGCCUUUUCCAGCUUCUAGAGGCUGCCAGCAUUCCUUGACUUUUGGCCUUACCCACCAUCUUCAGAAACCGCAUAGCCACUUCUUUCCUCUCUGACCUCUGCUUCUAUCCUGACCCCCCUUUCUGACUGGUCUUCCUGCCUCCCUCUCACCUACAAGGACCCUUUGUGUUUACACUGGGCCAAGGAUAAUCUCCCCAACUCAACACCUUUAAUCACAUCAGCAAAGUCCCUUCCCCCCCGUAACACAUUUACCGAUUCUGGGGAUUAGGACAUGGACAUCUUUGCUAGGCCAUUAUUCAGCCAACCACGCACAACCCACCUUUAUUAAUUUAGUUGCUUUCAAUGUAAUAAUAGCUGUGAACUCUCUACCCUAAAAAAAAGUUAUAAUGACAAUUUACAACCAAAUGUAUGGUUUGCCUCCCCCAGCCCCAUACUAAGUGAUCCUCUUGCCUCCCCUCACAUGGGGUGAAUAUAAUCACAAAUCUUCACCAAUUCUUGUUCUCCUUUUUAUGAAUUUUUAUUCCAUAUACGUAUUUAUACAGAAUACAACUACAUAUAUAUAUAUAUAUGAAGUGUGUAUGCAACGUAUUUUUAAUUGUUUUUAAUAUAGUAAAAAAGAGUAUGCUCCCCCUAAAAGAAAGAGAAUAUGCCCAGUACACACCUGUUAGAAUGGCUAAACUCCAGAACACUGACACCCCAAAUGCGGGCAAGGAUGUAAGGCUACAGGCACUCUCAUUCAUUGCUGGUGGGGGUGCAAAAUGGUACAACCACCUUGGAAUACAUUUUGGUAGUUUUUUACAAAGCUAAACCUAGCUCCUAGGUAUUUACCCAAAUAAGUUGAAAACUUAAGUCCACACAAAAACCUGCACACGAAUAUUUACAGCAGUUUUAUUCAUAAUGCAAAAAAUUGGAAGAACUAAGAUGUCUUCCAAUAAGUGAAUAGAUAAACUGUGAUAUAUUCAGAUAAUGGAAUAUUAUUCAGUGAAAAAAAAAAAAAAGCUAUCAAGCCAAAAAAGCCCAUGGAAGAAUCUUAAAUGCAUAUUCCUAAGUGAAAGAAACCAGUCUGAAAGGGCCACAUACUGUGUGAUUCCAACUAUGUGCCAUUCUGGAAAAUGUGUAACGGUGGAGACUAAAAAGAUGUAUGGUUGCCAGGGGCAAUGGAGGGAAGAGGAACGGGUAGAGCACAGAGCAUUUUUACUGUGGUGUAACUAUUCUGUAUGAUACUGUUUUGUGGAUCCCAAAGAACUGUACAGCUCAAAGAGUGAAUCCUAAUGUAAACUGUGGGGACUUUAGUAAAUAAUAAUGUAUCAAUAUUGGUUCAUCAGUUGCAACAAACAUACCACAUAAAUGCAAGACAGUAAUAUUACGGAAACUGUAUGCUGUGGUGGGGGAGAGGGUGUACUGGAACUUUGUACUUUAGGCACAGUUUUUCUGUAAACCUAAAACUGCUCUAAAAAAAUAAAGUCUGGGGGCGCCUGGGUGGCUCAGUCGAUUAAGCGUCUGCCUUAGGCUCAGGUCCUGAUCCCAGGGUCCUGGGAUUGAGCCCAGCAUCGGGCUCCCUGCUCAGCAGGGAGUCUGCUUCUCCCUCUCCCUCUGCCUCUCCCCCCCCUUGUGCUCUCUCUGUCUCUCAAAUAAAUCAAAUCUUGAAAAAAAAUAAAGUCUGUUACAAAGGAAAAAA